RNAcentral lists this unclassified non-coding RNA (1364 nucleotides) under Hevea brasiliensis (rubber tree). The record is from RNAcentral. Lineage: Eukaryota; Viridiplantae; Streptophyta; Magnoliopsida; Malpighiales; Euphorbiaceae.
GGGGAAAAGCAUAGCAUAGUGGAAAAAAUAGUUUACUUAAAACUCCACUGCAACUCUUGUCGUCCCUUUUCUUCAUAGUAAAGUAAAGGUUUGACCUUUGGAUCUCUCGUCUCUAUCUAUCUUCUUCAUUAGGAUUAGGGCUACAAAGGUCGUAUCUUCUGUUGAAGCUGCGAUAAUCUGCAUUCACGAGUGUUUAUUAUCUGUGCUAUUCGUAUUCUGGUGCUGUUGAUUUGAAGAGCUCAUGUUGUAAGCAAACAGUUCAGUGAAAGGAUUUAAGGAAUGAUCCUCUCAGCACUUUUGACUUCUGUUGGAAUAAAUCUUGGACUUUGUUUUCUGUUCUUCACAUUGUAUUCUAUAUUGAGAAAGCAGCCAGGAAAUGCAGAAGUUUAUGCACCACGCUUGGUUGCUGAGGGGAGAUCUCAGCAAAUCAGUAAUUUCAAUUUGGAGAGACUUUUGCCGUCAGCUGGUUGGGUGACAAGAGCAUGGCGACCCUCAGAAGCAGAGCUCUUAGCCAACUCAGGCUUGGAUGCUGUUGUUUUCAUGCGCAUUUUUAUAUUCAGUGCUAAAGUUUUUACCUUUGCUGUCAUUGUGGGGAUUUUCAUUCUUCUGCCUAUCAAUUACAUGGGGAAUCAACUAAGUCUUGAUUUGUUUGACUUGCCCAAUAAGUCUCUGGAAUCAUUCACUAUCUCAAAUGUUGACGACGGAUCAAACAGGUUAUGGAUCCAUUUCUCAGCUGUGUAUAUUUUCACAGCAGUUGUUUGCUAUCUUCUUUACAUUGAGUAUGACUAUAUUUCAUCAAAGAGAGUUUCAUAUUUUUGUUCAUCAAAACCUCAUCCACAUCAAUUCACCAUUUUAGUUCGAAGUAUUCCAGCUUCAUCAGGAAGAAGUUACAGUGAAACAGUUGAAAGUUUUUUCUCAGAGUAUUAUCCUGCUACAUAUCUUUCACACUGGGUUGUCCGGCGAGCAAGCAAACUCCAAGGUCUCAUUAAAAAUUCUAAAAGGUUGUACAGGAGGCUUGUGAACUUGAAAUCAGCAAACCAUGAUCGAGAAAGGUUUGGGCGUGCUGGUUUCAUGGGACUUUUUGGACAGAGAGUUGAUCUACUUGAUCACUAUGAAAAGAAGCUGGAAGUUAUCGAAGACAAUGUAAGGGCCGAACAAUCUUCAUCUCUGGGAAAGGAGGUAGGAGCUGCCUUUGUAUCUUUCCGGACACGUUUUGCCGCAGCUUCAGCUACACACAUGCAGCAAGGUGUAAAUCCUACACAAUGGGUCACUGAGCCAGCUCCUGAUCCAGAGGAUGUGUAUUGGCCUUUCUUUUCAGCAUCAUUUCUAAAGAGAUGGAUUAGCAACCUGGUGGUUGUUGUGGC